AGAGUUUGAUCCUGGCUCAGGAUGAACGCUGGCGGCGUGCUUAACACAUGCAAGUCGAACGAACCUUCGGGUUAGUGGCGGACGGGUGAGUAACGCGUGAGAAUCUGCCCUCAGGAGGGGGAUAACGGUUGGAAACGACCGCUAAUACCCCAUAUGCCGCGAGGUGAAAUGAAUUUCGCCUGAGGAUGAGCUCGCGUCUGAUUAGUUAGUUGGUGGGGUAAAGGCCUACCAAGACAUCGAUCAGUAGCUGGUCUGAGAGGAUGAUCAGCCACACUGGGACUGAGACACGGCCCAGACUCCUACGGGAGGCAGCAGUGGGGAAUUUUCCGCAAUGGGCGAAAGCCUGACGGAGCAACGCCGCGUGAGGGAUGAAGGCCUCUGGGCUGUAAACCUCUUUUAUCAAGGAAGAAGAUCUGACGGUACUUGAUGAAUAAGCCACGGCUAAUUCCGUGCCAGCAGCCGCGGUAAUACGGGAGUGGCAAGCGUUAUCCGGAAUUAUUGGGCGUAAAGCGUCCGCAGGCGGUCUGUCAAGUCUGCUGUUAAAGCGUGGAGCUUAACUCCAUUUCGGCAGUGGAAACUGACAGACUAGAGUGUGGUAGGGGCAGAGGGAAUUCCCGGUGUAGCGGUGAAAUGCGUAGAUAUCGGGAAGAACACCAGUGGCGAAGGCGCUCUGCUGGGCCAUAACUGACGCUCAUGGACGAAAGCCAGGGGAGCGAAAGGGAUUAGAUACCCCUGUAGUCCUGGCCGUAAGCGAUGAACACUAGGUGUCGGGGGAAUCGACCCCCUCGGUGUCGUAGCCAACGCGUUAAGUGUUCCGCCUGGGGAGUACGCACGCAAGUGUGAAACUCAAAGGAAUUGACGGGGGCCCGCACAAGCGGUGGAGUAUGUGGUUUAAUUCGAUGCAACGCGAAGAACCUUACCAGGGUUUGACAUCCUGCGAAUCUCUUGGAAACGAGAGAGUGCCUUCGGGAACGCAGUGACAGGUGGUGCAUGGCUGUCGUCAGCUCGUGUCGUGAGAUGUUGGGUUAAGUCCCGCAACGAGCGCAACCCACGUCGUUAGUUGCCAGCAUUUAGUUGGGCACUCUAGCGAGACCGCCGGUGAUAAACCGGAGGGAGGUGUGGAUGACGUCAAGUCAUCAUGCCCCUUACAUCCUGGGCUACACACGUACUACAAUGCUACGGACAAAGGGCAGCAAACUCGCGAGAGCUAGCAAAUCCCAUAAACCGUGGCUCAGUUCAGAUCGUAGGCUGCAACUCGCCUACGUGAAGGAGGAAUCGCUAGUAAUCGCAGGUCAGCAUACUGCGGUGAAUACGUUCCCGGGCCUUGUACACACCGCCCGUCACACCAUGGAAGUUGGCCACGCCCGAAGCCGUUACUCCAACCCUUGUGGAGGAGGACGUCGAAGGUGGGGCUGAUGACUGGGGUGAAGUCGUAACAAGGUA
This 1443-nucleotide ribosomal RNA is filed under the name metagenome. RNAcentral's name for it is "bacterial SSU rRNA". It matches the Rfam family "Bacterial small subunit ribosomal RNA". The record is from RNAcentral.